RNAcentral lists this transfer RNA (69 nucleotides) under Rattus norvegicus (Norway rat). It matches the Rfam family "tRNA". Rfam says of the family: Transfer RNA (tRNA) molecules are approximately 80 nucleotides in length. Their secondary structure includes four short double-helical elements and three loops (D, anti-codon, and T loops). Lineage: Eukaryota; Metazoa; Chordata; Mammalia; Rodentia; Muridae. The record is from Rfam by way of RNAcentral.
GGGGAUUUAGCUCAGUGGUAGAGCGCUUGCCUAGCAAGCACAAAGCCCUGGGUUCGAUCCUCAGCUCCA